This 46-nucleotide non-coding RNA is filed under the name Schistosoma margrebowiei. The record is from RNAcentral. Lineage: Eukaryota; Metazoa; Platyhelminthes; Trematoda; Strigeidida; Schistosomatidae.
GCAUUGCCGAGGAGUCCCAUGCCAGGACGAAACGGCCGUCCAGUGC